UCCUCCGGGGAUGGUGGGGACGACUGUUGGGACCGCCUCUGCUAAAGAGGAGGAAGGGAAUGGGCAACGGUAGGUCAGCAUGCCCCGAAUUAUCUGGGCUACACGCGGGCUACAAUGGGUGGGACAAUGGGUAUCGACACCGAAAGGUAAGGCAAUCUCCUAAACCCAUCCGUAGUUCGGAUUGUGGGCUGCAACUCGCCCACAUGAAGCUGGAAUCUGUAGUAAUCGUGUCUCAAAAUGGCACGGUGAAUAUGUCCCUGCUCCUU
Molecule: ribosomal RNA, 266 nt
Filed under: uncultured Methanomicrobiales archaeon
Lineage: Archaea; Methanobacteriati; Methanobacteriota; Methanomicrobia; Methanomicrobiales
Description: partial 16S ribosomal RNA
Rfam family: Archaeal small subunit ribosomal RNA
Source: RNAcentral